Molecule: long non-coding RNA, 1390 nt
Organism: Phragmites australis (common reed)
Lineage: Eukaryota; Viridiplantae; Streptophyta; Magnoliopsida; Poales; Poaceae
Exons: 2
Source: RefSeq, a predicted model, not a curated record
CUCCUGAGGGGAAUCAAUCGGCAUCACUUCCUCCCCUCUAGACUAAUCCACGAUAUACAUACAUGAAACUCAUUAUUUAUUUUCAAUAAAAUAAAAAAGAAGCUGACCUGCCUACCCGAUAGAAAAAGGAAGAAACCGGUGAGAGAAAGAGAGAUAUUUAUUAAGGAAGGAAGGAAUUGUGGCGUAAAUGGCAGGCAAUAAACACCUUCCGAAUGGAAUAAGCUCCCCUCACCCCCUCUAUAAAAGCAGCCCUUCGUCCCGCAACCUUCCUUCACCCAUCAACAGCAAGGAAGAGUAAGAAUAGUUUUCUUUUGCAGAUCCCGUUCCCAUGAUUCCUCUCCUGGGUUUUCUAUUGCGCAUAGUUUCUAGUUUUUGCUGUUCUUUUUUAAUCUUCUUGCAUGCGAUUCUUGCGACUUGAUGCUUUUGGUGUUAUUUCGUGGUUCUUGGCCUGUUUGGUUAGCUUGGUUGGAUUUGAAGCGGAGCUCCUGUCAUUCCAAUGAAGGGUCUCUUCGAAGGGUGGUACAGCUGCUCGUUCAUGGUUCCCACUAUCCUAUCCCAUCACCGAGAGGUUGUGAGAUAGGGAGAGAUGGUCUGUUGUAUUGAGAUAGGCUUGUGGUUUGCAUGACCGAGGAGCUGCACCGGCCCCUUGCUGUCCGCUCUUUGGAUUGAAGGGAGCUCUGCAUCCUGAUCUCAGAAAAACUCAAAACAUGUAUGUGCAUGUCCAGAUGCCCAUGCCUUCCCUGAAAUGUUUUCUGUUUAUAUUACUACAUGCUUACCCGUGCUGUGCCUGAUGGAUUAUUUUGGUUCUCAUUCAGUCCAUGUCUAGAUCUGAACCUAAAAUCUUUUUGCCAAGUGCAGAAAAAAGAUUUUUUUUUCAUUUUUUGACCCCUGAGCUUGCUCGUACUUGGGCCAAAUCAUCGUUAUUUGUUUAUAUUUGUUCCGAAUCAGGGAUUCAGCUUGGGCUUCUCCGUGCUGCAGGUUGGCGUACUACUUUUCGUCGCUUUAUUCCUUUGCUGGCAUCGAUAUUUCGACUGCCAAUAAUCUGCUCCCUGUGGAGUGCUCAUGCAGUCAUGUGGGGAACUGAAUCGACGAACGGGAUGCGCACAGCUGGUCCAUGUGGUAUUCAAUCUUAGAUGAGCUGGUUUGUACGUGUUUAAAAGAUCUGUGGUUGAGAGUUUUGAUUCUGUGAUUAAUGCAUUCAAACAGAUUUUGAGAAAAUGUGAUGUGUGUUGGUUACGGUGCUAGGCUAGUGAAUUAUAGAUUCAUAGUCUACUGGUUUGAGCAAAUGAAAUUGUAUAAAAAAAUAGGCUGGAUGAUGGAAACGCACAGUUUGGUUGUGAGCACAUAUGUAACUAUCAUUCCUUGAAUCCAUGAAUGUAGUAUAUUUCGU